Molecule: transfer RNA, 68 nt
Filed under: Bitias brevis
Lineage: Eukaryota; Metazoa; Arthropoda; Malacostraca; Decapoda; Pandalidae
Description: tRNA-Tyr
Rfam family: tRNA
About the family: Transfer RNA (tRNA) molecules are approximately 80 nucleotides in length.
Source: RNAcentral
UAGCGAGGUGGCUGAGUUAGUAGGCGAUAGAUUGUAAAUCUAUUAACGAAAUUUAUUUCUCUCGCUAA